Molecule: ribosomal RNA, 254 nt
Filed under: uncultured bacterium
Lineage: Bacteria
Description: partial 16S ribosomal RNA
Rfam family: Bacterial small subunit ribosomal RNA
Source: RNAcentral
UACGUAGGGACCAAGCGUUGUUCGGAUUUACUGGGCGUAAAGGGCGCGUAGGCGGCAAAUUAAGUCAGCUGUGAAAUCUCCGAGCUUAACUCGGAACUGUCAGCUGAUACUGAUGUGCUAGAGUGCGGAAGGGGCAAUCGGAAUUCUUGGUGUAGCGGUGAAAUGCGUAGAUAUCAAGAGGAACACCUGAGGUGAAGACGGGUUGCUGGGCCGACACUGACGCUGAGCGCGCGAAAGCCAGGGGAGCAAACGGG